AUCUAGCUGACGAGUCCCAAAUAAAACGAAACGCGCGUCCUGGAU
Non-coding RNA from Schistosoma rodhaini, 45 nucleotides. Lineage: Eukaryota; Metazoa; Platyhelminthes; Trematoda; Strigeidida; Schistosomatidae. The record is from Rfam.